UUUUAAAAUACUUGUGUAGUUGGUGCACGGCCAAACCUAGACAAAUAUUGAGGAAAAUGAAGCUUGGAGGUCGAGCUUGGAGAGGAGAAAGCUUAAGUAGUGUGGCUCAGGCAUUUCAUCGGACACCUCAUGUGUAUGCAUAGAAGGGUGGCAAAGAGCAUGACAAUCACACCUCAACAACCAACAAACAGAGGAGAGGAUGGGCAAGGGCGAGGGUAUAUAUAUGCAAAACUUUAGUCCCGAUUUUUGUCUAAAACCAAGACUAAUAGCCUACCAUUUAGUCCCAUUUUUUGUCCCGAACCAGGACUAAUGCUCCGCGGCACGCCACGUGGCAGUCGCUGGAUCUUUAGUCUCGGUUUUGUCCUGAACCGGGACUAAUGAGAUGAACCGAACCGGGACCAAUGGCCUGGCAAACUGAACCGGGACCAAUGCCUCGUAUUGGUCCCGGUUUUACUUCGAUCCGGGUCUAAUGUGGUUUUGUGCUACGGUUCAUAGUCUCUUUUUCUACUAGUGCUCACUCAUGGUAGAAUUAAAAGCUCACGACAGUUGGCAUGUGAUGUUCUGUUAAGGUAAUGAUGGUAUAUGGGCCACCCACAACAUUUGUCACUUGCUGACUUCCUAUAAAUAACCAGUUUCAUCCCAUGCAGUAGGAUAACAUUUAGUUGCAGACAAAGACGCUGAGCAACGACGCUGAGCAACGACGCUGAGCAGGGUGAAUGGCAGAGACUCACACAAAAGUUCGAUCCUGUGUGGAAUGGGAUGUAUCAGAAUAUUAAGCCAAUGAUGAGUAAGAACACAUUGUUCAGAGUGCAAUGAUGAAGCUAGUAAGCAGAGAGAAAUUUGUGUCUAUUUUUGCUUUAGUGGCUUAAACAACAAGGCUCUUUGCUCAUAAGGUGUGAUUCCGCCUACCGGCCUUGUAGAUCCAGCUUUCAUCACAGAAGUGACACGUGCUUAGUGUUGGACACAGGUCCGACUCGACGAGUACUUUCCGUCUACACAAACUCGUAUGCGGCAGCCACAGAGAGCAAGNN
This 1031-nucleotide long non-coding RNA is filed under the name Hordeum vulgare. RNAcentral describes it as "long non-coding RNA (HVUL_LNC017346)". Lineage: Eukaryota; Viridiplantae; Streptophyta; Magnoliopsida; Poales; Poaceae. The record is from RNAcentral.